UGUUCCAUAGUGUUUCCUUCAUAUCCUCUGAAGUAGGCACCUUCCGAGGACAGAAUCCACAGUGGACAAUCACUUACACAUUCACUAAAUGCUUACACAGGCCAAGCUCUGUGCUGGCCACUGGGGAAACAGAAAUGUCCUGCGUCACCAAGCUCCAAGCCCACGCUGGGCCCGUGAUAGGCAAACAAUAAGAACUUAAAUUUACCUGCACAGAUGAAAUGGGCACCAAGCAGACCCCACCAUGCAGGGGUGUGCAGCGUCUACGUGGGCCCCUGGCUUGCUUCAUGCCCUUCCUGGAUGUUUACUUUCACAGGUCUCGAAUUCCUAUUCUAUACCGGCGGGGGGGACAAGGCAAUGGAUAAGAUCCAAUCUUGGCCUUCAAAGAACUUGACAUCUCCCAAGAGAGACAAAAGCUUCCCCUAUCUUCUCUUGGAUGACAUCUUACGGCAACAAGUUAGACAGCUGUCAUCAUCUCCAUUUUGCAGACAGCGAAGCCCAAGGAGUGGGGAGGACACAUACCGAGCCCAUCACCAGGUAUGAUCUGCAUGAAGCUAUUCAUGUAGUGAACCAGUGUGAUGUUCUGCAGAACUCGAGCUGAUUCAGGUCCCUUUGGACUACACUGUGACAGAGAACAAGAGAAUUAGCACAGCCCUGGGGGAAGACAACAAAUCUGUCUCCACCAUGCGAAAAUGAACUGCCUUUGAUCCUCCCUCUGGAUGGGGAAGAAGACAUUCGCUUGAUCAAUAGCCUCAUACAAACGCCAGAAGCUGUUUGACCUGCGCUAGUAAAAUGACCACAUCUGGCACCGAAGCUACAACCACAGUUGCCACCUGGUUAAGUUUAUGCUUAUCCACGGUCAUUCCCUGUGAUCAAUUUGGUUUCAGCAGGACCAGCAUGGUGAGCUGAAUGAGGUUAUGAUGGGAAGCACCAACUCUACAUCCUUUAAGUUUUUAAUGGUGGCACUAAACUCUGCAGAUUGUCCCAGAAUGUGGCAGUAAUUCUUCUGAUUUACUAUCUUAGCCAGCACGGAGCUGGAGGGUAGUUUCCGGGCCUCCCACUUGGCCCAUCCUAGCAUAAUGGCCUCAUUCACAUUUGCGGCCUCUGCCAGCUUCUUGGUGUAGCCGUCCCAACUACGCUCUCAGGAAGGGGAAAUAACCAUGGGGUUGGCCCAUGGAUCGUCCAUAAGACAGACUUGGACCUUUGCCAUGUGGGCUCCAAGAAGCCCCCUAGCUAGCUGGAAGGCCAUGAUGGCAGGUCAGAUCCCUUGCUCUCCAUGUUAGGUCAGCAUCUGUAUCUAACAGUCUUUAGAAAGGUCAGUAUCACCCUUCCUUCCACACAUAGUUACUCUAGAAAGUGGCUGUAGGUCGUUUGGGAAAGGGUUAGGGGAAUAUUUCUCAUCUAGACUGUGGUCCUCCUUCCUCAGAAGGACCCUCUUCCCUUUCUAUCAAUGGACCCGGGGUCUGUCAACUGACUUACAUCUGGAAACAAAGUGAGGAUCUGAUGUCAUCCUUCUGCUCACCAUUUCCUGAUAUUUAAAAAAAAUUAACAAGGCAAGCAGCACCCUCACCGGCUGGCCGUCUUCCUCACACCACGACUGACUGGCAUUGCCGAGCACCCCUGCAGGGCAAGGCACCCUGGUUGCUACUGCUGCCUUGCUGCCCGUGUGCCUCUCAGGCUGAAGUGCCACCACCUGGCCUCUGCUGGUCCGGGAUCCUAACACGCUCAUUGGGAAUUGGGAGCCAAGGUCCACCAGCAGCCCCAGCCUGCUGAGGGCAGCCACUGAGGAACUUCUCCAAGUGCUGGAGCCCCCUCACCCCUGCCCCACUGGGGCAUCCGUUAUUGCCUUGAGUAGGGGGUUGUCUCUGGACACUCAUGGAGAAAAUAGCUGUGUCAGUUUCCUAGGGCCGCCAUGACAAAGCACCACAGGGAGAGGCUUAAAACAACAGCAAUAGAUCACAGUUCUGGAGGCCAGAAGUCUGAAAUCAAGGUGUUGGCAGGGCCAUGCUCCCUCCCAAGGUCCAAAGUGAGGAUCCUUGCUUGCCUCUUCCAGGUCCCUGAAUUGUGGGCACACAACUCCCAUCUCUGCUUUUGUGUCUCUGUGUAUCCUCUCCUCUCUUUGUGGACACCAGUCACACUAGGGCUACCCGAAUGACUUCAUUAGAGCUUGAUUACAUCUAUCAAAGACCCUGUUUCCACAGAAGGUCACAUCCACAGGUGCUGGGAAUGAAGGCUUCAGCAUAUCUUAUGGUGGACACAAUUCAACGUACAAUAAUAGUCAACUGGUAAGGUCCCAGGUCCCAGGUCCCAGGUCCCUGGUAAAAAGCCCAUUCUAAACACUCCACCUUCCCGAGCCUGCCAACCCCUCCUCAAUGCUAUGCUGAGGAAGUUCUGGCAUUUCUACUCAUUUGCUGUAGACCAUUGUCAUGGCCAAGCCCUAAGAAGCCAUCCUAUCACACUGUUUGGACCAGCUCUGGGUCCUAACACUUGACCCUGAGUCCAGGGUGAGUUUCCCGUGUCAGUAAAUUCUCCCCGUGGGGCCUUCCCUCCCCCUUCUUCAACCUGACACCCUCGAGCCCACGAGUCCUGGGUUCCUCUAGUCCUGGCAGCUCCUACUGGUCAGGGCUGCUGUUCCUUCUUCACAUAAGCUAUUUCCUUCUGAAACAGGACGGUACUUUCCAGCUCAAGCUGUAUUGAGAUUUGACCCUGGUCAUUGGCCUGGAAGCAAUAAAUGGUAGCGGAAGGGGCAGAUUUUGAGGAGAACAAGAAUCAUCUCGUGAGGCAUCUGCAUGCUCUCCAGGCUCGGGGAGGCUUCUCUCUGUCAAGGGGAAGGCGACUGUGUCCACCAGCCUGAUGGGUUCCGGGCCCUGGAGAUUUCAGAUUUUCCGUCUCACCCACAUAUCCAUUCCCAUCCCUGGUUUCAGGGCCCCACUUGAGUUAGCAAGAACCUAACUUUCUUUUUUUUUCAAGCCUUUCAAAAUGCAGCAGACGAAAAGUCUCCUGCUCCACAAUCAUCAUUAUCACCAUUGCUCCCAUGCUGUUCAGACACCAUGGCCGCUUUGUACUGCAGUGUCUCAUCUUCCACCUGCACCUCUGCCCAGGGUUCCACAGGAGAGCACUUCCAACACUGUGAUGCCAAGGUUAUUACCACCCAUCUGAUCCCCAGUGAUGGGCUUCUUUAUGCCAGAACCCCAUGUCUGUCUGUUGGCAGGAGCGUGGAAGGUACCCGGCGCAGGAGGGCUGAACCUGAGAAGGAUGAACACCCAGGUCAUGAAACGAGGACCACAGCCAGUGGAGGUCAACCCGGGCCUGGUGGUUCUACCCCCGCCCCCCCCACCCCGGGUCCUUCUUGGCAGGGACCCUGUGUCUGCAAGAUGAGCGACCACGUCCUGUUCUCUGUGCCUUCCCCAGCAGUUAGCACAGAGAUGGCCACGGAAGGGCCCUGCGUGGAAGGACUGAAGGAGAGAGCGAGUGCAUACAAGGGAGUACCUGGCCCCUCUGCACAGCCGGUCUCCCUGCAAACUCGCCUCACCCAGCCUCUGCCAUCUCCAGCCUCUGGCUCUUCCUCCAUCAUUGGAGGUCCCCGUCCUCUGCUCUGACUCCCUCAGCUACAGCCCAUCUUUCUGGUCUCUGGAAGUGGAAGGUCCUGGCUCUGACCUCAAGCUCACCUCCUCUCUGGCUUUUGGGUGAAAUGGCUCUGUUUCAGGCCCAGGGAGCCCAGCCUCCCUGGCCUUUUCCUCAGUGGAAAGUUGUGUCUCAACCUCCCUCAGGAG
Molecule: long non-coding RNA, 3770 nt
Organism: Camelus dromedarius (Arabian camel)
Lineage: Eukaryota; Metazoa; Chordata; Mammalia; Artiodactyla; Camelidae
Exons: 5
Source: RefSeq, a predicted model, not a curated record